Molecule: long non-coding RNA, 1388 nt
Organism: Planococcus citri (citrus mealybug)
Lineage: Eukaryota; Metazoa; Arthropoda; Insecta; Hemiptera; Pseudococcidae
Exons: 3
Source: RefSeq, a predicted model, not a curated record
AAAAUUAAAAUUGACAAAAGAGAAAAAAAUGAACUGAAAACAAUUUACAAUAUGCUCUCGUUAUCAAAUUAAUAUUGUAAAGUGGGGAGUUUGUUAGAUAUUAUCGGAAAAUACUUACACACGUUAUUAAAUGAAUAAGUUGUGAUAAAUGUUGACGAUCGUGUUGCGUUUUAUAUUUCAAUUUCAAGUUCAUGUUUAAAAUUUCAAUAAAAUAAAAAUGUAGUAGAUGCAGUUUCUGAAGACUAUUUUGAUCACCGUCGCUGCUCGAGUUGGCUUAACAUAAGAGUAUCCGAAUUUGGAGAGGAGUAUUUUCACAUCAAUGGCAAUUGCUGGCAGCAUUUUAGAAUUUUCGUUAGUCAACCGCCUUUGAAGGAUGGAAAAUGAAGCAGUAUCUAGGCCCAUUGAAAAUCAUGUUGAACCGUGUCAUUAUGUGCUGGAAAUGCAUGCGCAACACUUUUACGAAUACACUUAUUUUGCGAUACUAAUUAAGCUUGGCUGUGUGCUUUCAAACAUUUUGCUGUUGAUUCAUUUUUACAAAUAUUUUAGACAUUAUUCUACUCAAGCGGUGCCCGCAAAAAAUUUAAAUUCUUAUUGCUUAUAUAUAUUUUUAACGAAUUCAGUUUUCCUCCUAGAAUAUACCCCAUUACCAGAAUUGUCACCCAUCAGUUUUGUUUUUGUUUUCGCUUACUUACGUUUAUCGUCGUCAUUUCUAUCUCUUAUUAUGAUCUCAGAUACAUGUAUGUGUUUUAGAAAAACAGCCUUGUACUUCCGACCUACUGUCAAUUCGGGCAGACAAGUCAAACACUUGAUUUAUACUAUUCUCGGAAAAGGCUUACCUUUAGUUAUUACCGUAUUAAUUUCUACGGUAUUUUAUUUCUAUAAAAGUUGUAGUUUUGUUCGUUUAACUUUAUUGAUAAUUAAUACCGCGGUUCGAAUACUUUGCCUGGGUUUAUUUUUCGUUUCAUUACGAUACAUCGUGAUGAGCAGUAUUCAGAAAACUAGGAUGUUGACAAAUUUCCCAUUACUUGUUCGUUUGCUGUUGAUGACUGGUAUUCUUCCUGCGAUUCCUUACAUUUCUUACGGAAUUUAUCUACUACUCAAUCUUCACCGUGGUUACAACUACCCGACCAUCUGUGUAUUUGGUUGCAUAAUGAAGUUUUGCUUAUCCUACGAAGGGAUUCUUUUUGCAAUGUGUUUCACGUUUAAAAAAAAUUUACAUAGAAUUCGAAUGAGAUCGAUGUCAAUGAUUUCAAUAAGCGUUAUAAAUAUUCAGCAAAAUGUUAUUCAUAAAGUAUGAAAAAAAUGUAGGUAUCUAAUGUAGGUAUCUACCUAUGUAAAUAAGCUUGGAAGAUAACUAUUAUUGUUUUUGUUAAUAAAUAAAAAUUGGU